RNAcentral lists this small nucleolar RNA (107 nucleotides) under Helianthus annuus (common sunflower). RNAcentral's name for it is "Plant small nucleolar RNA R71". It matches the Rfam family "Plant small nucleolar RNA R71". From Rfam's summary of the family: R71 is a member of the C/D box family of snoRNAs containing the C (UGAUGA) and D (CUGA) box motifs. Multiple nearly identical copies of this snoRNA have been identified in Arabidopsis, and it is thought to function as a 2'-O-ribose methylation guide for 18S ribosomal RNA. Lineage: Eukaryota; Viridiplantae; Streptophyta; Magnoliopsida; Asterales; Asteraceae. The record is from RNAcentral.
AGGCCAUGAUGGGGACACUUGCGUGGUAGCUCCUUGAACCUUUCCCAUGUUUCAUAUAAGGAUUCCCCGUCCUCUUGUGAGUAUGUAUUAAUUUCAGCCAUUAAUUU